UGGAAGUCUAUGUAGAUGGUUAAUGUUCCGUCCCAGUGUUGCCGGGCUGGUGUUAUUACAACCCCUCAUUAACUCCUGUGGAUUAGAGGAACCAGCCUCAAUGUCUGGACUCACCAACAUCCUGUCAAGAUAUUUAAAAAUGAAUCUCAAAGGACUUGGAGCCUUCACAUAACAACUACAACAGCAACAACAACAAUGAUUACAAAAGGAUGAUCUCCAUCUCUUAGUGGUAAGACUGUAAGAUUUUUAUUUUUUUCUUUGUUUCUGUUGUAUUUC
RNAcentral lists this long non-coding RNA (276 nucleotides) under Mustela putorius furo (domestic ferret). Its description in RNAcentral is "lncRNA (ENSMPUG00000025020.1)". The record is from RNAcentral. Lineage: Eukaryota; Metazoa; Chordata; Mammalia; Carnivora; Mustelidae.